UGGGAUAGCCAUUGGAAACGAUGAUUAAUACUAGAUACUCCUUCUUAUCACAUGAUAAGUCGAGGAAAGUUUUUUCGCUAAGAGAUCGGCCUAUAUCGCAUCAGUUAGUUGGUGGGGUAACGGCCUACCAAGACAAUGACGCGUAGCGGGUUUGAGAGGAUGAUCCGCCACACUGGUACUGAGACACGGACCAGACUCCUACGGGAGGCAGCAGUGAGGAAUAUUGCACAAUGGGGGAAACCCUGAUGCAGCAGCGCCGCGUGGAGGAUGACGCAUUUCGGUGUGUAAACUCCUUUUAUGAGUCAAGAAAAUGACGGUAGCUCAUGAAUAAGCACCGGCUAACUCCGUGCCAGCAGCCGCGGUAAUACGGAGGGUGCAAGCGUUACUCGGAAUCACUGGGCGUAAAGGACGCGUAGGCGGGUUAUCAAGUCAGGUGUGAAAUCCUAUGGCUCAACCAUAGAACUGCACUUGAAACUGGUAACCUAGAGUAUGGGAGGGGCGGAUGGAAUUAGUAGUGUAGGGGUAAAAUCCGUAGAUAUUACUAGGAAUACCGAAAGCGAAGGCGAUCUGCUGGAACAUUACUGACGCUAAGGCGUGAAAGCGUGGGGAGCAAACGGGAUUAGAUACCCCGGUAGUCCACGCCCUAAACGAUGAACACUAGUCGUCGGGGAGCUAGUCUCUUCGGUGAUGCA
RNAcentral lists this ribosomal RNA (692 nucleotides) under uncultured Sulfurimonas sp. RNAcentral's name for it is "bacterial SSU rRNA". It matches the Rfam family "Bacterial small subunit ribosomal RNA", at positions 139 to 850 of the family's 1533-position model. The record is from RNAcentral. Lineage: Bacteria; Pseudomonadati; Campylobacterota; Epsilonproteobacteria; Campylobacterales; Sulfurimonadaceae.